Molecule: long non-coding RNA, 281 nt
Organism: Puntigrus tetrazona (Sumatra barb)
Lineage: Eukaryota; Metazoa; Chordata; Actinopteri; Cypriniformes; Cyprinidae
Exons: 3
Source: RefSeq, a predicted model, not a curated record
AGAGCACAAUGUCAGGAAUCCAGAUGGAGUCUGAGGGAACUCUGAUGGAGGUGAUGCCCAGAUAAUGAUCCGGAUUCCAUCGGAGCUUCAUGUCUGUCCACUCCUGAAUGCAACUGAAUCAACACCACUGAGAGAGAUCUGGACAUGUAUACUUUGAAGAACGUAUCAUGAGAUGUCCCUCAGUCGGGGAACUGAGCCAAGGUCAGAGACACUCACCUAUAGAGGAGCAGAGGACAGCACAGCAAACUAGCAGGAGGACAGAUCUGACAGCGCUUUGAGCU